This 7952-nucleotide long non-coding RNA is filed under the name Sus scrofa (pig). Its description in RNAcentral is "lncRNA (ENSSSCG00065021545.1)". The record is from RNAcentral. Lineage: Eukaryota; Metazoa; Chordata; Mammalia; Artiodactyla; Suidae.
UCCAUUCAGGUAAUGAGAAGAGUUUGGACACAGAAGAGGUAGAAACUCUGGGUUCUGAGUAGGGAUGGGCUAGGAUGGGAAGUCAUGUCUGGAUUUCAAGAGUUUUUACGUCAACAACCAGGUGGAAAAAUGAUGCUAAACUCAUGUUUGCUAAUUACCUGUUUGUUAGUUUCCUCUCUUUUUUUUUGCCGGGGGGAGGCUAUGCCCAAAGCGUGUGAUGUGCAAGUCCCCAGUUCCUGGGCCAAGGAUCGAACCAGGCAGCAACCUGAGCCACUGCAGUGACAAUGCCGGAUCCUUAAUCCAUUGCACCACAAGAGAACUCACUUUUUAUUUAAUUUUUUAAGUUUUUAAACGUUUUUAUUUUUUAUUUUAUUUGUGUGUCAGUUUCCUUUUGAUGAGGGCAGGAACUCUACCACAUCCUGGGGCAUCCCCCGGCCGGGCCUGGGUCCCACUUGGGUGCUGUAUCAAAUAAUGGAGUCCAGGAGCAGACAGCACUGCUGAUUGAUAACCUUGAGCCCUAACCCCAUUCCGUGACAUCAGCAUCUGGGGUGGUGGUUUGGGUGUUCUCAGUACAGGAGAUUUUUGUGAGGGCGGCCCCUCUGCAUCACUCAGUUGUCAUCAGAUAGUUAAGAUGCCACCUCUGCAGAAGUUGGGCUGGGGGAGGAGGUGGGAACAGAACCUAGAAGUUCAACAGCCCAACCCCUCUCUUUCCAAGUUUAUCCAUCUUCGGGGGAGGGUUCCUCCGUGUUCCCUGCGAACGCUGGUGUUCCUCUGCCUUUGCAAAUGCUUACCUUGUUCUCUCCUGAGCCAAUCUUUCUUGCCUUCCUUGUUCACUUGUCAAAAUACCACCACUUCCUCGAAGCUCAUUGCAAAUGCUGUUUCUUCCAUGUGGCUUUUCCCGAUGUCCCAGCCAGAUAUGUUUUCUGCCUCCUCUGAACCCCAUAGUGGUCUAUGCCUUUCUUUUGACAUCAUCUUCUCCAGGAUUUUACCCAGUCUUUUGAGCUGGGAUGCCCACAGCGAAGGGAUAGGCCUGAAUGAUCCUUGAGUCCCUCCCACAGGGCCCAGCGCCGUCUCUUGAACCCAGUAGGCACAUGGUAAAUAUUAUUCAAAUUGAAACUGACUUCCUUCAUGACUCAUAUAUUUCAGCAGCUGCAGAACACUUGUCUCCCAAAGAUGAUUUGGGUCAGGAAUCGAAUAAUCAAAUGUCUGGGAUAUGUCAGAUGGAGAAUAUACAUAAAUGAAAUGGAACCAGUACCAGAAUAUUUUUGAUAGAGAUGCCCUUAUAAGAAAGAUUUCACUUUCUUUAUCACCUGUUAUAAGAUGAUAAGGGGCAACAGAUGCAGGGUCUCUGUUGGGAGGCGACAGGGGAUGGUGGAGACUGGGGUGAACAGAGAACAGGUGCUGAUCCAUCCACCUGAAGUUGACAACAACCUCACCUUGGCUCUAGGCAGUCAUUUCCACAGUGUUCCUGGAUAAUCUCAUAUGUCAGGAGAAGCUGUAAAUUCAGAAAUCAUGGAAAACCCUGAUUUCGAGAUCGUUUCAAAUGAUCCCCCCCUGCCUUAUUUUCCACCCUGCCAGCACUGUUGGGCAGGCCCGGCCACCAGUUUGGGACCUCUGAUUUACAUGCCAGACUUUUCCCCAGUGAGGCAAAUAGGUAAAUUUAUCUAAAAAUUGCAAGGAGACCUGGCUGCUUUUCAUUAAAAAGAAGCUGUUUGCAUCUUGUUUUUAUUCGCUAACAUUUGCUUCCCAUUGUCCUGCUUCCAAUCUGAGUGGGAACCCCAGGGUUGCUAUUAUUAAUCUGUGCCUGGAUCCCAGCUUCGUGUGGCAUAAGCACUUCUGCAGUUUGCCUUGAACUCUGUAUAACGGGCUUUUUAUUUUCCUGCAGGAGUGGUUUAAAUGGAGGCUGCAGUCUUCUGCAAGGCAUAAUUGGUUUUAAAUUGUAGGUUUAAUAAUAAUGAUGUUGGGCUUAAUGGGGUGCCUUUCAGCUUCUGCCGGCAGCCCUUGGCAACCAGUCACUCAUCGAUCCGUGUACGCACUCUCCUCAGGAGGGGACAGCUGUCAGGGCGGGGCUGAGUCCCUCAGCCCAUCCUGAAAUGGGCUACAAGGAUGAGGGGCUCAAAUGCCUGCUGUAGCUGUGGCCUCUGAAGGAGAGGGAAGCCAUAGGCACCCCCUCGUGCCCCGGGUGUGGGGGCCCGAGGCUAGACUUUCAGGGCCCUUGGUUGUCUUUUUCCUCUCUUUGUCCACCUUUGGGUCACCCCACAGCUCAUUAGGAAUGCUUUGGGAAGAUGAGCAGAGGAAUUUAAAUUCCACAGUUUGGCUUCUGUGCAGAAGGUUUAAUUGAGAGGCUACAUUAACCUAAUUGGUUAUCAUCAAGCAUCUAGCUUCUUUCUAUAUUUUAAGUCACUUCUUUUCGUUUCAUUUUACCGUGGCCAAUAGAGCGUGCCUUUAAAAGAUUAAGGCUUGUACUUUGGUCUCUUUGAGUGAAAAGAGCUUUGGUUCAGAAAUCAGCCAGGAUUCCAACGAUGACUCCUUCUAGAAUGACCUGCAUGAACGUACACGCGAUAGUCACUUCUCUUAGCCUCGUUUCCAAAGCCUUGGAUGGAUGAGGAGAUCAAAUUACAUGACCACGCAUGUCCCUUCCAGUGCUUGCGACAGAUGCCUUCGGUGUUUCUGUGAAAUGACACCAAACUCCACCUUGGUUGACAUUUGGUGGGUUUCAAAAGUCAAUAAAAAUACCAAUCUACAUAUGUUAUACAACAGACUAACUGAGGCUUGGACAAGUGAGGGCUUGUUCAGCAAAAACUCAGCGUUUAUGUUAUAAAAAGCACAGAGAAGGAUGUUGGUGUCGUGUGAUGUGGGGCAUCCUGCUUGAAAAUUACAGGCAGCACAGUCAAUGACAGGGUAGCAGCACCCGCGGCCGGCUGACGAGCGCCCUUUGGAGGUUUCUCAGGGUCCGCCCUAGGGACAAAGCACAGACGUUCAGAACUGGCGGUCUAGCUCACCAUCGAUGACAAGCAGCUCCUCAUCUGUGUCGGGAUCUGAACUGCCUUGGCUUCGACCACUGUUUCUGGAUGGCUCUUUGUUUUUGUUGUAAACAGGAGCAAAUUAUAACAUGGGAAGAAUGGAAAUAGGAAGGGGUAAGAAUGGAAAUAAGAAGCCUGAAGAAGUUUCUCUGGGCUCGGAAGUCUGCAGUGGCCAUUUGGACCAGCGUUUUUUUGUUUCGUUUUGUCUUUUUGUCCUUUUAGGGCUGCACCCGAGGCAUAUGGAAGUUCCCAGGCUAAGGGGUCUAAUCGGAGCUGUAGCUGCCGGCCUACGCCAGGGACACAGCAACGUGGGAUCCGAGCUGCGUCUGCAACCUACACCACAGUUCAUGGCAAUGCCGGAUCCUUAACCCACUGAGCAAGGGCAGGGAUCAAACCUGCAACCUCAUGGUUCCUAGUCAUAUUUGUUAACACUGUGCCACGAUGGGAACUCCUGGACCAACGUUUUGAAGGAAGUGGUGCCCCAGAGUGUGAAGGUGGCACACAGGGAAUACCCACUUUUGUACAAAUGUCACCUGCAAAAAGCUGAUCAGACAGCUGCAUGCAGCCUCCCUUGCUCCUCUUUUGGGCACGCUUUGUUCCCGGAGGCUCCAGAUCCACGCAUCAGCAGACUUGAGCGCUGUGUCACUUUCACUUUUUUUCUUGAUCUUUAGGUGCUGUGUUGUAUUUUUUGGCAGGGAAAAAAAAAUGGACAACCGAAGUUAGGUUUUGUUCUCUCAAAGUAAACUCCUUAAAAAGGAUGAAGCUAAUGUGAAUGAUAGAUUCAGCGGAGAGGGAAACCACGUCGUUUUCCCCCGCAACCCCACUGGCCCCAGAAUCAAUUUGCCCACCUCUCUGUGAAAUGAGCUUCCAGUGGCAGAUAUUAGCAGCUAGUGAAGGCAAUCUGGCCUUUGAGAGGAGAGGAAGAGCUGGCUGGACUACGAGGCUGCUCUGAAGAGCUAGACGUGGCCACAAACAACUGCCCACGCUGACACCAAUUCUGAGAAGUAGGGUCAAAAUUUUGAGGUCUACAGAUUAGCUGCAUAAGGCUAUUGUCUUUAGAUUUCGUAGGAAGGCUGGACUACUAUGUUGCUGGCCACUAAGGUGUCAAUGGCUGUGAUUGAGACCUUCACAUGCAACCUCGGCUGUGCAGGAAUGGGACAUGGAAUAGGUUAGUUCUGAUGGGGAAAGGCAAGGACAGCACUCGCAGAAGGUGAGUUCAGGUGAAGCAUGGCAGGGAGAGGCAGCCAGGUGCCUCCAGGACCUGGCGUGUGUCUGCAUGUGCCUGUGCAGAGCUCAAGGUCAGAUGCUUGCUUACUGUUGACAGAAGAGACCUUCAGGGAUGAGGCCUGGGGUUACGAUGGGGUUAAGAAACGUUCAGAGUUUUUCUAAGGCCAGUUGCACAAAAGCUGUCAGCUCUCUGAGGGUAAGGACCAUUUCCUCUUUUCAUCAUCACAUCCCCAGCGUCUACCAACUGAUAUAACUACUCAUUACUAUUUAGCAGAUAAUUAGGUAAAAGGAAGGGGAGAGAAACUUGGGAAGACCUCACACUAGUGCUGAUCAGCAUUCCAUUGGCCCACUAGGGAUUCUGUGGCUGCCGAGGCACUGUGGCCAGGUCAGCCAUGGGGACCCUCUAGUGGGGGACCAGUACAAGAACCGACCUCCUCUGGAUGCUUGAAGCAGAAAAAAUAUUUAUUGAAAGGACGUUGGGCAGCCCACAGAGCCAGCAGGGCCUGCAGGGGGAGUCCAGGUAGACUGCGGGAAGACAGCCAGGCGGCUCACGGGGCUGGUCCGGGGACCUUGGGCUGACUCCACACCCGCAGCACAGCUGUGUAUCCCUGACAUUGUCCUGCUGCUUCUGGCCCCUCAGUGCUGCCCCCUGCAGAGAACUCCUUCGAAAGGACUCCUAGAUCCCAAGUCCAAGGGGAGAAGGGCCAGGCCUCCCCCCACUGGUGGGCUUGGGUCCUGACUGUCCCUGCAAUGGCCAGCCUGCUGGGAAGCAGGCACUGCCUUACGUAGGACAUGGGGGAGCCCCUCCUUCCAAGCCGAUGAAGUAGGGUGGCCAUGCUGGGUGGCCAAGAAAAAGACACAGUGUCCCCUGGGGGCAGGAGCCGGAAGAACCCUCAGUGUGAUGAGUAAUCCGGUUAAUUAAGCAAAUAUGAAGAAACAAAACAAAAAUAGCACUGUGUGCAUUUUAGAAUUUCACUUUGUGUCAAAUCAGGCAUGACAAGGGCCAGCAGGUUACAGUGUAUUCAGAAUAUGUUAAUGGCAGUUCCCAGGGGCUAUGACAGCUCAUUGGCUGACAUGAAUGAUGUGACAUUCUUAAGGAAAAGUCUCAAAGUGAAAGAGAAUGUCAAGGUGGCUUUGCUGUUGGUUCAGCCCCACCAGAGCAUCAGAGAGCUUUUCCAAGUCUGGGUGAGCAUGAGGUGAGCCCUGACUCUGCCCCUUUCCUCCCCAGGAGCCAUGGGCUGUGCGGGGCUGUGGUUUUCCUGGAGCCCCAUGUCACAAGGAGCCAGCCAGGCCGUCAACCCAGCCCCGCACCCUAUAAAGUGCUCUGGCUUCUGAGGGUGAAUUAACUCUUGUUUUUAUUGUGCCAUUAAUUCCAGCUCCUGCCUGUCUCCCUAAUGCAUUCCACAUGCCUGGUCCCUUCUGCCCGCAGCUGUCACUGCCCAGGCCGGGGGCUUGCUCGGCUGUCCCUUGCGGCUUGUCAGCCUGUCUGCUGGCAGUUCUGUCCACCUCCCAAGAGAGGUGCCUCCCCUCCUCCUUUCUUGGCCAUGGUAGAGUCUAGGCUUUUUGAGGGCCUGGACUUCAGGGCACUUGUAUUUAAUUUAAUUAAUUUAUUUAUUUAUUUAUGCCUUUUUAAGGGCCAUACCUGCGGUACAUGGGAGUUCCCAGGCUAGGGGUCCAUUGGAGCUGCAGCUGCCGGCCUACACCGCAGCCACAGCAACACUGGAUCCGAGCUACAUCCGUAAUCUACACCUCAGCUGGUGGCAAUGCUGGAUCCUUAACUCACUGAGCAAGGCCAGGGAUUGAACCUGCUUCCUCAUGGAUAUUAGUUGGGUUCUUAACCUGCUGGAGCCACAGAGGAAAUUCCCAAGGCACUUGUAUUUUAUACCUUUCCUGAACCUGACACUUAGCUGGGGCUCAACAAAUUCUUUUCAAAUUAGCUGAAAGGUGAAGAGGUGAACUUAUCUGACAUGUCUGGACCAGCUUUUUUAGGGGGUACCUGGUAUUAUCUGUGGAUGGCUUUUUUGGGUUGCAGAUUUUGAGGACCUUUUGUGUAAAGGUGUGAAGAGAAGGGUUGGCUACAAGGCACUGGAACAUGGCUUAAAAGGCAGAUGUUCUGCUCCCCUGAAGAUUUCAAAGGCAUGUAUGAGCAGCAGUCAACCCAACUUAACCAAUUGACAAGUAGCUGGAUGGAUGCUUGUGGGAUGGAUAGAAGAAAAGUAAACAACUUUGUAUUUUAAUAAAUUUUUUUACUUAAAAAAACAAAACAAACAAACAAAACAAAUUCUUUUCAGUCAGUGAAAGAUUCAAAGCGCCUUGGAAGGCAGGUGCCACCGCUCGGGGAGAGCAAGGGCUGGGAGUCUUCCCAGUGGAGGUGGUGGUGGGUCGGGCCACCUUUCAGCCAAGGUGCCGAGUGAUGGGACAUCCCAGAGCUUGGCAGAUGUGCGGGGCCUGGGAGGGGACAGUGGAGGAGGGCUCCGCGCUCUGAUCUGGAGGGGCAGCUCCCUGGGCAGCACGCUGUGCUUGCGUGGCUCCUGGGCUGGGGAAGGGGCAGAUGAUGGGAGGGUGACGGCCGCCCGGAGGAUGUACCACCUCACAGGUGGGCCCCAGACAGACCUGCUCGAUACAGUCCCAUAAUCGUGUCAGCUUCAAGUGGGAAAUCCUCUCAUUUUGAGUUUUCCAAAAUGUGUACUUUCGGGAGUCUUCCUUCCCUGUCUCCCUUCCUGCCUUCUUCUUUCUCUCCCUCCCUCCUUCCCUGCCUGGACUCCCUCCUCUCCUCCCUUCCUGCCCUCCCCACCCAUCCUUCCUCUCUCCCUCCCGCCUUCCCUCCCUUCCUUCCUUCCUCUUUCCCUUCCCUUUCUAACUUUCCCCUUCUAUCUUCUCUCCAAAAGCAGAAGGGCAGAAAUGGCACCCCUGGGGGAUAAAUGUGUCCAUUUCAGAAUUUGCCCAUUUCCUCCUGAAGUAUGGAAAGCCUACAGUCUCUGCCUUAAAAACGAAAUGCUAGAGGAGUUCCCGUCAUGGCUCAGUGGUUAAGGAACCCGACUGGUAUCCAUGAGGAUGCGGGUUCGAUCCCGGGCCUCACUCAGUGGGUUAAGGAUCUGGCUUCGCCGUGAGCUGUGGUGUAGGUCACAGACCCGGCUCAGAUCUGGUGUUGCUGUGGCUGUGAUGUAGGCUGGCAGCUGUAGCUCUGAUCUGACCGCUAGCCUGGGAACUUCCAUAUGCUGUGAGGGCGGCCGUAAAAAGACAGGGAAAAAAAAAAAGCCAGAGUGUCAGGGCAAGAGCUCCACUCUUCCUUAACCGCCUCCCACCCCUCCCUCCUCUCGCUCCCCACGGGUUCUCUCAUUACAGUCUGUUCCUGGUCCUGCCUGACUGUUCCCCACGUCUUCCUCCUCCUCCACCUCAGUUUCCAGCAGGUUCUCACCCUCUCUGAGCCAUUAGCUUUGCCCCAGUUCUAACCCCGUUAGCAAGACUCUUACAAGCCGUGAUCAGCGAACCCCCACGCCAGAACUAAUCAUCAGCCCCCACCUCCCUUUGUCUGUGCCCACCCACUCCCCCACCUUCUUACUCUACCGUCUCCAUUGUUGUUAUUCCUGGAUGCCUGGGAGGGAACAGCGUGAGCUAGCUGCUGCAGAGUCAACAUGUAUUGGGACCACCCUACUCACAGCCACAGUUUUAAAAAGGAUGCAUUUGAAAAAAAAAAAAAAA